UUCCAGUGAAGGGCGCCGGGCGGACUCUUUCGGUCUGCUCCGUUCAAUGAGAAGCCUACGCGCUGGUUACCAAACUCCCAAAGUGUCAUACUUUGAAAAGACGGCAGUCAACUACCCUCUGACCUCGGAGUUAAAAAGAUGUGGUGAAGAUGACUUGCUGAAGUCAAAACUGAGCAUCGGAGGGAGAAGAAACAAGAUUUAAUUGGAUUUUAAACUUGGAGGGAUUCUUUGGGCCAGACAGGCUGGCCUGAAUCUUACAGAACCUGCUAAUCUACUGGGUGUGCAUGAGAACGUCCUGUUAACAUCAGAAGUACGAGGAGAAAGGACAGACUAAUGACGGAGAA
Molecule: long non-coding RNA, 344 nt
Organism: Fundulus heteroclitus (mummichog)
Lineage: Eukaryota; Metazoa; Chordata; Actinopteri; Cyprinodontiformes; Fundulidae
Exons: 3
Source: RefSeq, a predicted model, not a curated record